AGUGAACGCUGGCGGUAGGCCUAACACAUGCAAGUCGAACGACAGCACAGUAAGAGCUUGCUCUUACGGGUGGCGAGUGGCGGACGGGUGAGGAAUACAUCGGAAUCUACUUUUUCGUGGGGGAUAACGUAGGGAAACUUACGCUAAUACCGCAUACGACCUACGGGUGAAAGCAGGGGAUCUUCGGACCUUGCGCGAUUGAAUGAGCCGAUGUCGGAUUAGCUAGUUGGCGGGGUAAAGGCCCACCAAGGCGACGAUCCGUAGCCGGUCUGAGAGGAUGAUCAGCCACACUGGAACUGAGACACGGUCCAGACUCCUACGGGAGGCAGCAGUGGGGAAUAUUGGACAAUGGGCGCAAGCCUGAUCCAGCCAUACCGCGUGGGUGAAGAAGGCCUUCGGGUUGUAAAGCCCUUUUGUUGGGAAAGAAAAGCAGCAGGUUAAUACCCCGCUGUUCUGACGGUACCCAAAGAAUAAGCACCGGCUAACUUCGUG
This 492-nucleotide ribosomal RNA is filed under the name uncultured bacterium. RNAcentral's name for it is "partial 16S ribosomal RNA". It matches the Rfam family "Bacterial small subunit ribosomal RNA", at positions 29 to 507 of the family's 1533-position model. The record is from RNAcentral.